GAUCCUGGCUCAGGAUGAACGCUAGCUACAGGCUUAACACAUGCAAGUCGAGGGGGCGAGCAUGGUUCGUUUAGUCUUGUCUAAGAACUGAUGGCGACCGGCGCACGGGUGAGUAACACGUAUCCAACCUGCCGUCUACUCUUGGACAGCCUUCUGAAAGGAAGAUUAAUACAAGAUGGCAUCAUGAGUCCGCAUGUUCAUAUGAUUAAAGGUAUUCCGGUAGACGAUGGGGA
RNAcentral lists this ribosomal RNA (233 nucleotides) under uncultured bacterium. RNAcentral's name for it is "partial 16S ribosomal RNA". It matches the Rfam family "Bacterial small subunit ribosomal RNA", at positions 15 to 231 of the family's 1533-position model. The record is from RNAcentral.